This 253-nucleotide ribosomal RNA is filed under the name uncultured bacterium. Its description in RNAcentral is "partial 16S ribosomal RNA". It matches the Rfam family "Bacterial small subunit ribosomal RNA", at positions 524 to 776 of the family's 1533-position model. The record is from RNAcentral.
UACGGGGGGGGCAAGCGUUGUUCGGAAUUACUGGGCGUAAAGGGCGUGUAGGCGGCCAACUAAGUCCGACGUGAAAUCCCCAGGCUUAACCUGGGAACUGCGUCGGAUACUGUAUGGCUUGAAUCCGGGAGAGGGAUGCGGAAUUCCAGGUGUAGCGGUGAAAUGCGUAGAUAUCUGGAGGAACACCGGUGGCGAAGGCGGCAUCCUGGACCGGUAUUGACGCUGAGGAGCGAAAGCCAGGAGAGCAAACGGG